GGGAGAGGAAGGAUGUAGGAGGAGCUGAGCCUGGGGCUGGGCCACAGUGCUCCAUCUAGACCAAGGCGCAGCUGCUGGGGGCCUCUGUGAGUAUUCAGCAAUGAGAGGCAGAAUACAGCGGUUUGUGGAACUAAGGGUGAGGAUGCAGUUUGCUCCAGAAAUGGAAAUUAUUCCAGGAAAGUCAGAGAGAAGACGCUGCUAUUGAUGGAAAGGACAGUUGAGCAGAAACCCCAAGACCCAAAGAAGAUCAGAUCAGGUCUAGAUACAAAUAUUUCUACCACCCGGAAAGCUCCCAGGCAAUACCACCAACCUCUACCAGAAGUGAAGACUGUUCUUACUUCAAAUACCAUGAGUUAGUUUUGCCUGUCCUUGAGGCACAGGGGACUUCAUGAGGAUGGGGACGUCCCUUGGCUGGUACAAAGUAGAGCUGCCCAAGAAGCUUCAUAUCCGACUUUUUCUUCCUUGACCCCACUCACUGCUGAGUUCCGCUAUUAUCAUGUGUUCCUGAAUUUGUGUUGC
Molecule: long non-coding RNA, 519 nt
Organism: Suricata suricatta (meerkat)
Lineage: Eukaryota; Metazoa; Chordata; Mammalia; Carnivora; Herpestidae
Exons: 5
Source: RefSeq, a predicted model, not a curated record